RNAcentral lists this unclassified non-coding RNA (187 nucleotides) under uncultured Sporidiobolales. RNAcentral's name for it is "sequence contains ITS1". Lineage: Eukaryota; Fungi; Basidiomycota; Microbotryomycetes; Sporidiobolales. The record is from RNAcentral.
GUGAAUUAUAGGGCGUCGUUCCUGCUUCGGCAGAACGAGCCUGACCUCCACUUUCUAACUCUGUGCAUUUGUUGGCUUGAGUCGGUGACACGGUCGGUUCGCUUGCGGACGGGCCGGCGAAGCGACUCUGGCGGCUUCACUUUUAAAACACCAGUCAAAGUAUGUAACGAAAUAUCGAAAUAAAAAA